This 567-nucleotide unclassified non-coding RNA is filed under the name Amphibalanus amphitrite. RNAcentral describes it as "cyclin-dependent kinase inhibitor 1C-like, transcript variant X3". Lineage: Eukaryota; Metazoa; Arthropoda; Thecostraca; Balanomorpha; Balanidae. The record is from RNAcentral.
CGCCCCAGCGGCUAACCGCAUCAAGAUAUACGGAUUUGUUUUUGACUGGCAUUUGUCUUUCAGGUGUCGCAUAUGUGUGCCUUGCCUCUGAUAGCUGACUACUGUGCUUGGUAGCCACAUUGACUGCACGCACGACCACUCACAAUCCCGGACGAAGUGUCGCAUAUGUGUGCCUUGCCUCUGAUAGCUGACUACUGUGCUUGGUAGCCACAUUGACUGCACGCACGACCACUCACAAUCCCGGACGAAGUGAGUCUCACUUAUAUCUCUUCGAUAGGCACUACUGGCACUGGCUAGACAGCGCGAUACUGUGUGAUUGGAUUAUUUAAUCAGCCAGUCUGGUAUAUUUAAACGAGCGGUGCUUAGAGUUUGAGUUCAGUUUCUUAGUAACCAACAUGAUCUGUUCGCUCGUUCAUGUGCUACCCCCUACUGCGGCGAUUGGUUAUGUGCCGGAUGUAUUACACCUUUCGUCCGUUGUCCCCACAGUUAUAACGGUCAUCACGGUCUGCGACUACUGUGGGCCCACCGACUACAAGCCCUGAUCACAAUAAAUCUUGUAGAACUCUG